Molecule: ribosomal RNA, 236 nt
Filed under: uncultured bacterium
Lineage: Bacteria
Description: partial 16S ribosomal RNA
Rfam family: Bacterial small subunit ribosomal RNA
Source: RNAcentral
GAUCCUGGCUCAGGAUGAACGCUGGCGGCGUGCUUAACACAUGCAAGUCGAGCGAAGCGAUUUAAGUGAAGUUUUCGGAUGGAUCUUAGAUUGACUGAGCGGCGGACGGGUGAGUAACGCGUGGAUAACCUGCCUCAUACAGGGGGAUAACAGUUAGAAAUGACUGCUAAUACCGCAUAAGCGCACAGUACCACAUGGUACGGUGUGAAAAACUCCGGUGGUAUGAGAUGGACCCG